GACCUACGUGGACAACCAGAUGAACAGGCGUCUCCGACGAGUUGGUAUGCCAUACGGCUAUGUGGCUCCACGAGUAGAGGCACCACGAUGCUCUCGUCGUCUUUUAGGGUUGGAGCCUGAACCAGUUCUUGUCCCAGUUGCCUCUCCUGAGCUGCCAAGAAAUGAUCAACCUGAACAUUUCGAAGCAGUCGUACCUCGUGCACGAUUAUUCUCCGUCAUGGUUCCUGAAGCAGCUAUUCAAAUUGCUGCUGAAGUUAUCAUUGACGAGGAUGAUAUGGUCGAGGUGGAGUUAGCUGGCGAGGAGCUCUCGGUUCUGGAGUCAACUCUGGAGGAGGAAGAGGUCAUGGAGCUGUCUGUGGAGGCCUCUGUGCUGUGUGGUAUGGACACAACAGUGGAGGACCCAGCCGACUGGUUCCUGGAGGAGACUGUGUCUUUCCUGCCAACAGAGGAGGAGACUGUUGUGUUCGAGGAGGUAGUGGAUGAGGAUGCAACAACCAACCACGCUGAAGAGACUGUCUGGUAUGGUCCUGAAGAGGUUGAGGUUCCAGCCACUCCAGUCACACCGUAUGUUGUUAUAGGUAAUGAUGUAGGUGUUCCUUUGGACUGGGAGGUGAUCCCUGCUCCAGUGGUUGAGGUUGCUCCUGUCCCUGAGGCAGCUGGGAGGUUUGCUGGGUGGAGACAGGUGGCUAGAGUGCUAGGCUGCCUUGUUACUUCAUACCAAACUGUCUCAGCUGUCUUAUUUUUUGGUUAAUUUUUGAUAAAUACAUAUACAUUUUGUAUAUUUUCUUUAAAAAAAAAAUUGGAAAAGUAUAAACUUUUGCUUUAGUUUAAAAAAAAAGUUUGGAAAAGUAUAAAUUUUUGUUUUAGUUUAAAAAAAAAUGUUUGGAAAAGCUAAUUUUUGAAACUUGAAAUUUUUGUUUUGAUUUAUGGUCAUUCAGUUUAUUUUUGAAAGAUUUUCAUUCUUUGCUAAGUAACACAAUUUCUUCAAAACUUCAAAAUGAGUGUUUUAAUAAUUUUGGCUAUUUAAUCAUUAAAGUUUUAUGAAAAUAUUUUGUUUUAAUUUAAAUGAAAGUUUUUAAUGUUUAAUUUACUUAACUUGGAAAUUUAUAAAGAGUGUGUCUGUCUUUUUGUAACCACUGUUCUUUUUAUCCAACACAUGUUAAACUUUCAGGCUGGACAACUGUCAAAAUGGAUCACCAUAAUUAUCAGUCAGGUCAAGGUCAAUCAGUAUAGAUAUCCAAUCAUUUCAGGUCAACAUUUUCUUUUAAAGUUUGGUCAUAGGUUAGAGGUUAAAAGUUCAGGUCAACAUUGACAAGAAUAGAAUGUUCAUUACUCCUUUAAAGGGUAGAGGUCUACUAGAUUUAAGAUCAAACUAUUUGUAAGAAUGGUUAUUUGUAAGGUCAAAGACAUGCAGUGUCAGGUCAAGGUCAAUGUUUACUUCUACAGAAUGAUUAUAUCUGUUAGCAGGAUCACAUAUAUGAUUAAUUCAAUGCUUAAAAGCAACAAGCACAUGUAAGAAGCAUAUUCCUGCUAAACAGCUUUAAAUAUAUGUGUACCUAUUUUCACAAAAAUAGCUCCCUUCCCCAAGGGUUGACUGGGGUAUAAAAAUAUGGUCAUCCCUUGGUCUUCUUCUGACCGGCAGUAAAACGCUUGCCAAAGAUUAGCCACCGUUUAGUAAAUACAUAGCCACAUCCUGUUAAAAUUUAAAAUUUAAAAGUUGCAUGAUUAAUACCAGAGUAACUUUUAACCUGAAGUGUGACAGACGAACGAACAGACAAACAAAAGAACGGACUGACAAACAGACGACUGGGUAAGACCAGAAAACAUAAUGUCUGUCCAUGUAUGGGGCAUAAAAAUCCAGCAUAACAGUGCAACAUUCCAUUUAGCUUUUGAAAUUUUGAUGAAAAAUACAAACUAUUUCCUUUGACUCAUUUAAAACAUUAAAUUGUCACCACCCUUUAGAAAGAAAAUGAACAUUAAAGUCCCCUACAUAAAUUUCAUAGUUUAAAUACAGGAAUUUUUUUCAGAAAUUUUCACUUCUGGAUGAAAGGAUAAAAUUACCACUUCUGUUUUAUAAUUCAUUGAGAGCAUUUAUAAAAAGUAGCAGAUCAGAAGUAAAACAAAAAAAGAAAAUAUCACUAAUUUCCUAUUAAACAUCCCAAAAAUUUCGCAUUUGUUCAUUUUAACCUUGACCACGAUAAAUUAAAGAAUAUAUUUGGUAUACAUCAAUGAGGGGUACUUAACAACAAAAACAAGGCGUCUUUAGGUCAACAUAGUCCAACAAAGAUAGGCAUCUAUACAAUAUGUUGAGUGUUUAUAGUUCAAAAUUAGUCGACAAAAUUUACUAAAUAUCUAUAAAGAAAAAAGUCGACAAAAUUUACUAAAUAUCUAUAAAGAAAAAAGUCGACUAAAUUUUACUAAAUAUCUAUAAAGAAAAAAGUCCACAAAAUUUACUAAAUAUCUAUAAAGAAAAAAGUCCACAAAAUUUACUAAAUAUCUAUAAAGAAAAAAGUCCACAAAAUUUACUAAAUAUCUAUAAAGAAAAAAGUCCACAAAAUUUACUAAAUAUCUUUAAAGAAAAAAGUCCACAAAAUUUACUAAAUAUCUAUAAAGAAAAAAGUCCACAAAAUUUACUAAAUAUCUUUAAAGAAAAAAGUCGACUAAAUUUUACUAAAUAUCUAUAAAGAAAAAAGUCGACAAAAUUUACUAAAUAUCUAUAAAGAAAAAAGUCCACAAAAUUUACUAAAUAUCUAUAAAGAAAAAAGUCCACAAAAUUUACUAAAUAUCUUUAAAGAAAAAAGUCCACAAAAUUUACUAAAUAUCUAUAAAGAAAAAAGUCCACAAAAUUUACUAAAUAUCUUUAAAGAAAAAAGUCGACUAAAUUUUACUAAAUAUCUAUAAAGAAAAAAGUCCACAAAAUUUACUAAAUAUCUUUAAAGAAAAAAGUCGACAAAAUUUACUAAAUAUCUAUAAAGAAAAAAGUCGACUACAUUUUACUAAAUAUCUAUAAAGAAAAAAGUCCACAAAAUUUACUAAAUAUCUAUAAAGAAAAAAGUCGACUAAAUUUUACUAAAUAUCUAUAAAGAAAAAAGUCCACAAAAUUUACUAAAUAUCUAUAAAGAAAAAGUCCACAAAAUUUACUAAAUAUCUAUAAAGAAAAAAGUCCACAAAAUUUACUAAAUAUCUAUAAAGAAAAAAGUCCACAAAAUUUACUAAAUAUCUUUAAAGAAAAAAGUCCACAAAAUUUACUAAAUAUAAAGAAAAAAGUCCACAAAAUUUACUAAAUAUCUAUAAAGAAAAAAGUCCACAAAAUUUACUAAAUAUAAAGAAAAAAGUCCACAAAAUUUACUAAAUAUCUAUAAAGAAAAAAGUCCACAAAAUUUACUAAAUAUCUAUAAAGAAAAAAGUCCACAAAAUUUACUAAAUAUAAAGAAAAAUUCAACUAAAUUUACUAAAUAUCUAUAAAGAAAAAAGUCGACUAAAUUAACUAAAUAUCUAUUAAAAAUAAUAAUAAAGCAAAAUAAUUAAAAAUUCUUUUUUCUUGCAAUUAAAUAAGUUUAAAGUUUUUAAUUCAGUAAAAGAUUUGGGCUUUCAACAACUUGAUGUGAAUGAUAUUGCAUUAUUAUAGUGUCUGAGUACAACAUUAUUACAUAACUUGCUGGGUUAAAAUUUCUUUUUUUACAAAAAUAUAAAGUAUAUCCGAAGUUUACACUGGCAAGUCAAGUAUAACAAUGUAUCUAACACCGCACAAUCUGCAUAAACCUGCAUACCUGCAUAGGAUAAUUAGCAUUGCAUAUAUAAAUUAACAUGUAAAGCUUAUGCUGGCUUGCUGAUGUUUUCUUUCAUUGUUCUAUUUAAUUAACCCCUAGCCCAAUAUAGCAACAUCUAUUUAAAAUUGACCUGGGACUUGGAUUUUGGGCAGGUAGGGAGGAAUAAGGGAAAUACCUUGGCCUGGGAUUUAAGGGCUUAAAGAAAAGGGAGGGGAAACCCAGGGACUCUGGUGAAGUGGGGAGAUAAAAGGAGAGGGGAAACCCAGGGCCUGGUGUAUUUGGGGAGAUAAAAGAGGGAGAAGGUUACAUCCACGGCCUGGUGUAUUUGGGGAGAUAAAAGAGGGAGAAGGUUACAUCCACGGCCUGGUGAACUGGGGGAGAUAAAAGAGGGAAUGGGGAAAGAGUUGCUGUCCAUUGAAUGAAGUAAGUUAUGUGUUAAUGUUGUAUUCACAUUGUUGUGAUGAUUUUAUUGUUGCUUUGAAGUUUGUGGAGCAUAAAUACCCCAGUACUUUUGGAUAAAAAUGAUAAUGAAAAAAUAUUCCCAUUUAAACUUUCAGUUUUUAAUAAAGAUAUUCCAGUGUUCAAAUUAACCAUUAAAGUGGUCUUUCUUAAAGUUGUCAAACAAGAACCAAAGUGUACCUUUUAAACUUUAAAAUAUCAAUUGAACAUUUAAUUAGAAACCUUUGGUUUAAACAUUUAUGCGUGUUUCUGAGUUCCUUUCAUUAAAAUUGAGUAAAUAAAAUCUCACUCUAUUUAAACAAUUUUGUGUUGUAAAAAAAACACAAAAACAUACAAUUAAGUACUUGACCUAUAGUAUAGAAACUUGUUUUUGUUGGAGACUAUAUUGACCUCUGGGGUCCAGGUUUUUUGUGUUGUUUAGUUGCUUUCUCAAUAACAUAAUCCCUAAAGUCAUUUUCAAUUAAUCAUAGACAAAGGACUAAUUAUAAAAAACCCAGAAUAACCAAAUCCUUCAUAUUAACUUAUAAUAACUGUUAAAUUUUCCUUCAAAUUAAAUAUAUGUUUCACACAUCUCCUUCGUUUAGAUAAAAUUUUAAAGUGAAACAGAGAAUGGAAGCCAAAUAUUUAAAAUUUAGAUUAAUUGAAAUAGCCUCCCCUCUUAAAAAAAAUAUAGAACAAAUUUUAACAGAAAAAAGGGGGACGGAAACCUAAAGAUACAGAAUUAAAAUAAAGUGAUAAAAAGAUCCUCCGUACUUUUGUAAACUUCUUUUUAAAGUUUUAAAUUUGGUAAAUUAGAUGUUCCCUGAAUUUAGAGUAUCCAUGGGAACAUGUCCCAUUUUUACCAGAAAUUAAUAUACCCAUAGGAACAUUACGGUACAUGUUCCUCUCCAUAGUAAUAAAGGUAUCCAUUGGAACAUCACAUGUUCCUCUCCAAAGUAAUAAAGGUAUCCAUUGGAACAUCACAUGUUCCUCUCCAAAGUAAUGAAGGUAUCCAUUGGAACAUCACAUGUUCCUCUCCAAAGUAAUAAAGGUAUCCAUUGGAACAUCACAUUUUCCUCUCCAAAGUAAUAAAGGUAUCCAUUGGAACAUCACAUGUUCCUCUCCAAAGUAAUGAAGGUAUCCAUAGGAACAUCACAUGUUCCUCUCCAAAGUAAUGAAGGUAUCCAUAGGAACAUCACAUGUUCCUCUCUAAAGUAAUAAAGGUAUCCAUUGGAACAAGUAAUAAAGGUGUCCAUAGGAACAUCACAUGUUCCUCUCCAAAGUAAUGAAGGUAUCCAUAGGAACAUCACAUGUUCCUCUCCAAAGUAAUAAAGGUAUCCAUAGGAACAUCACAUGUUCCUCUCCAAAGUAAUGAAGGUAUCCAUAGGAACAUCACAUGUUCCUCUCCAAAGUAAUGAAGGUAUCCAUAGGAACAUCACAUGUUCCUCUCCAAAGUAAUAAAGGUAUCCAUUGGAACAUCACAUGUUCCUGUCCAAAGUAAUGAAGGUAUCCAUAGGAACAUCACAUGUUCCGCUCCAAAGUAAUGUUCCGCUCCAAAGUAAUGAAGGUAUCCAUAGGAACAUCACAUGUUCCUCUCCAAAGUAAUAAAGGUAUCCAUAGGAACAUCACAUGUUCCUCUCCAAAGUAAUAAAGGUAUCCAUUGGAACAUCACAUGUUCCUCUCCAAAGUAAUGAAGGUAUCCAUAGGAAUAUCACAUGUUCCUCUCCAAAGUAAUGAAGGUAUCCAUAGGAACAUCACAUGUUCCUCUCCAAAGUAAUAAAGGUAUCCACAGUAACAUCCCAUGUGUCUUACCAAUAGAAAUAAGUCAUCCAUAGGAACAUGGGAGCCUCGGUGGCCAAGUGGUCUAAGUUGUUACUACUGUAAUCACUAGCCAGUCAACACUGAGGUUGUGAAUUCAAACCCUGCUCGUGCGGGUGCACAUGACUCCAAUCUUAAUUGACUUAGGGUUGUCAGUUUUCCUAUUGAAGGUCAGUGGUUUUCUCCAGCCACUCUGGCUUCCUCCACCAAUACAAACUGGCCGCCAUGAAAUAGCCAAAGUAGUGCUUAAAAGUGGCGUUAAAACACCAAAAAAUCAAAUUCAAAUCCAUAGGUGCACUGCAUGCUCCAAAUUUACUGGUAUCUGAUAUCCAUUGGAAUCCAAAUUUAGUUGUUCAGUUUGUAUUGAUGACAGAAUUGGCUUUACAAUGAACUUUGAACUCAAAGAAAUGGAUACACAUGUUUCAGAAAAGUGAGUUUGGUACCUAUAUCUCUUUUCACACUUUUGUUGUUUUUAAAUAAUUUGUAAAUUUUAUUGUAAAUGUAACAUAUUUAAGUUGUCAAAUUUUUGUGUAAAAAGGGGAAUGACCAUUUCAAAACUGUUUUUCAAUAUUUUUGUUAAAGAUUUUCAGAAGGAAACAGAAAAAUUAUUUAUAAAAAUGUGGAUAGUGUCAAAUGUGUAUAUAGUUUUAAGAAAAAUAGAAAAAAACAAAAAAAUGCAUGGGUGAUGGUUUUUAAUGAUUUUAAGAAAAAUAGAAAAAAAAAAAAAAAAAAAUAUGCAUGGGUGAUGGUUUUUAAUGAUUUUAAGAAAAAUAGUAAAAAAAAAAAAAAUAUGCAUGGUUGAUGGUUUUUAAUGAUUUUAAGAAAAAUAGAAAAAAAAAAAAAAAAAAAUAUGCAUGGGUGAUGGUUUUUAAUGGUUUUAAGAAAAAUAGAAAAAAAAAGAAAAAAAAUGCUUGGGGUUUAAUUAUAUUGUGAUGCAGAAAUGGGUCCAUUAUUUUAUCUUGAAUUUGGGAUUUAAUUAUAUCAUGAUAUGGAAUGGAUACAUUCUUUUAACUUGAAUUUGGGAUUUAAUUAUAUCAUGAUACGGAAUGGAUACAUUCUUUUAACUGGAAUUUGGGGGAUUUAAUAAUAUCAUGAUACAGAAUGGAUACAUUCUUUUAAUUGGAAUUUGGGGGAUUAAAAUAAACCCUUUAAAAAAGUGGGGGUAUACUGUUUUACCUAUGUCUGUCUGUCCAUCAUUCAGUCUGUCAGCAUCAACAAUACAAGGAUUUCUGAAAUUUGGUUCAGUGUUGAUAAAAUGCAGCUAAACUGUGCGAUGCAUUUUCAGAUUCAUCACUCAACAACUUCCUGUUAACCAAACACUUGUAUCAUUUACACAUGAUAGCUAAGGUUGAAAUUACCUUUUUAUCAGGAACUUCAAUACAAGGAUUUCUGAAAUUUGGUUUCAGGGCUGAUAAAAGUCAGCUAUACUGUGUGAGGCGUUUUUGGUUUCGCAACUCGACAACUUCCUGCGUACUGAAGUAUAUGUUGGGGGUAUCCUCAGUGGGCAGUAGCUCACAGUUUCACUUGUUUUACCAUGAUACGGAAUGGAUACAUUCUUUUAACUUGAAUUUUGGAUUUAAUUAUAUCAUGAUACGGAAUGGAUACAUUCUUUUAACUUGAAUUUUGGAUUUAAUUAUAUCAUGAUACGGAAUGGAUACAUUCUUUUAACUGGAAUUUGGAGGAUUUAAUUAUAUCAUGAUACGGAAUGGAUACAUUCUUUUAACUGGAAUUUUGGAUUUAAUUAUAUCAUGAUACGGAAUGGAUACAUUCUUUUAACUGGAAUUAAAUAUAAUUAAGAGUAUACAUUUUUAUUUCUGAGGAUUGUUUUGAUAUAUGUAAGUGAACAGCAACCAACAACACAAACAAAAAAACGUCAAAAGAUUAGUUAAUACAUUUUAAAUAAAGAUAAAUAAUGUUAAUACCUUUUGUCCUUCAUUUGGAAUUUUCAAGAUAAAAUAAUAUGGAAAUUUAUAAAUGAAAAGGAAUAAUGAUAUAUUCCCUUUAAAUUUUAAUAAAACCAUAAUUCAUGUCUGAUGUUAAAGAUAAAGUUAAAAAAUGGUGAAAUAAUUUUUCAAAUUUUCAAAUUUUAGAUCAAAUUGCCCUUAAAAAUCAGACGUAGAACAUAUAUGUAUCAGCUAUUCCUAAACCAUUUUACAGAUUUUUAAAGGAACUUUCAGAACAGAACAUUUAAGAUACCAAUUUUGUAAUGCAAGGUUUAUCAGUAUAAUUUUGGGAAUUUCCCAAAGUAAAGGAUGUUAGUCUGAGAAAGAUCUCCAACCCUUCCGGGAUACAUUAUUCUGACUCAGAGUCAACUAGACUUUGCUCUUACUUUUAAAUACUACUUGCUUAAGGGAGAAGCAGCAAAUACCCCUUUUAAAGUCUUUGGUUUGUCCAUACAUGGGAUAGAGCCCUUUACCUCCAACACAUCAGGCAAGCAUAGGACCAUUGAGGAGGUUAUAAUUGGUAGUGAAAAGUAUUCUUUUUAAAAUAUUCAUAUUCAUUUUAUUUUUGUUUAUUUGUUCAUUCUGUUGUUCAAUUCCUAGUAGUAACAGAAAACACCAAUUUUUAUAUUUGGUUUAAAAAUAUUUAAUUGAAAAGUAUGUCUCCAUGCAAAAUUAUCCAUCCCUCUACAGGUUGUAUCUUAAUAUAAAAAACAUCUUAUUCUUAAAGUAUCAACACUAACCAUUACUAACAAUUGGUACUUAAUUAAAUAGGUUGGAAGGAUGGAAGACAAGAGAGGGAGAGAAAUGAGAGGGGAGGGGAUAGGGGAGAGAGAAUAGAGACUGAUGGAGUGAGUUUUCAGAUAAGGGUUUAAGGUACUAGUCUUGUAGAGGGAUAGGUUUUUAAUAUCUUCUUUUAGAAAGAGAACUUCUUGUUAACAAUAUGAAUAUGAGUAGGAAUACAAACCAAUUUUUAUUUUUGGUAUGCAAAUCCAGUCUGAAAGUCUGUUUUAAAAUAAUGGGUCUAUUACAUUUCAAAAUUAUUUCCAAGUCUGUAAAAUUUUUGUGACCCCAGUGGCCGAUCCAGGGGUUGGGGUUGGAACUCCCCCCUUUUUUUUAAUGAUAAUGCAUUUGAAUGGGGACAUAUAUUUAAAACCCGCACUUUCUCCUUGGUUGGAUCCCCCUUUUUUUAAAGAUUGCUGGUUCCGCCCCUGAACCCUUUCUCCCUUCCUAUUUGGUAAAGACAUAUAAGAUUGUGUCCAUAGUACACGGAUGCCCCAUCCGCACUAUCAUUUUUUAAGUUCAGUGGACUUUUGAAUAUGGAGGAAAAAACUCUAAUUUGGCAUUAAAAUUAGAAAGAUGAUAUCAUAGGAAACGUGUACAAAGUUGAUUGGACUUCAUCAAAAACUACCUCAUCUAAAAAAUUUUACCUGAAGCAGGACGAACGAACGGAGGCACAGACCAGAAAACAUAAUGCCCAUAAAUGAGGCAUAAUAAAUGUUUGCAUUGGAAAACUCCCUUAAUAAUUUGUAUAACAACAGCCAGUCUAGCCUGUCAUAAUUCAGUAACUACAAGCUAUUUAUCUAUUCUGGAAAGAUGUGACUGUUUCAACCCCACUUGUAGUACUCCUGGCAAGGCUGCCAGUUUUUAUUGGCGGAAGCCAUAUAAAUGGCACCUGAAAAAACACCGACCUUCAGUGUCUUUUAAUGUUGUCCAAAGUUUCUGUUGAAAUGUUUGUACUGGUUUGAGGUAUUGCUGAUUAAAAGUGUAGAUGUCUGAAUAAACAAAAAACAUCCUUUAUCAUGUUUUAGAUUAAAAAGUAAUUAUAUCCAAAUUUCCAAUUUAGUUUCAGCACAAACGUUAAAGAUAAUUGUUGCAGAAGCCCUUUUUAUUUAAAGGAAACAAUAUCAGAUUUUAAAUUUUGAAUCUUCCAAAAUAAAUCUUUUCAGUUUUGUAAAGUGGUACAUUGUGAAAUUUAUAAUUAAAAAAAUAAAUCUUUUCUAAUAAUAAGGGACAUAACUCUCCAAUGGUAAAAAAAUACUAAACCCAUCAAAAUAAUGUAAAUGCUUAAAGCAGCUUUCAGAUUUGUUAGUUUGUAAAUACAAAAUUAGCCUCCUCUUGGCCAAAUGAAACUUAAUUAACUUUGUAAUAGAAUUUUCCAUGCCAAAAACACUUUUAUUGGAUAAAAAAUAUGAAGUAAAAACAGUGACCUUUAUAAUCUUAAGCUUUUGUGGUACGAGAAAAAAAAUCAUCAAAGAUACUUAUUAUUUGGCCACAACAUUUAAUAAUUUUUUAGACACCUAUUAUCACAGAAUAUAAUUUUUGCCAUCUUAAUUAUAUUGUUAAGUGUGUUGUUGGCAUGCUGUCUCAUUGAAAUAUACCUCAGAUCCUCUUUUAUCUUAUUCAAGAUUUUCAGAAAAGCAAUUUUAAAAUCUGUUAAAGGUUUAUUCUCUAAAUAAAUAGAAUAAUUGGUCCAGUGAUCAAUGAAGAAUGUAAAUGAGAUGUGGUAAAAAUGCCAAUGAGAUGUGUUAAUACAACUAAUGAGAUGCGCUAAGAAUGCAAAUGAAAUGUGGUAAAAAUGCCAAUGAGAUAAAGCUAAAGAUAUGUUGUAAUAAUGCUAAUGAGAUGUGGUAAUAAAUCUAAUGAGAUGUGGUAAUAAAGCUAAUGAGAUGUGGUUAUUAAGCUAAUGAGAUGCGCUUAGAAUGCCAAUGAGAUGUGUU
Long non-coding RNA from Mytilus californianus (California mussel), 10686 nucleotides. RefSeq lists it as uncharacterized. The transcript has 3 exons. NCBI's taxonomy places the organism in Eukaryota, Metazoa, Mollusca, Bivalvia, Mytilida, Mytilidae. The record is from RefSeq and is a predicted model, not a curated record.